GGGGGUAUCGCUCAGUGGUAGAGCGCAUGCUUGGUGUGCACAAGUCCUGGGUUCAGUCCCCAGUACCUCUG
This 71-nucleotide transfer RNA is filed under the name Camelus bactrianus (Bactrian camel). It matches the Rfam family "tRNA". Rfam says of the family: Transfer RNA (tRNA) molecules are approximately 80 nucleotides in length. The record is from Rfam by way of RNAcentral. Lineage: Eukaryota; Metazoa; Chordata; Mammalia; Artiodactyla; Camelidae. RNAcentral also lists the same sequence under 2 other names.